This 301-nucleotide ribosomal RNA is filed under the name uncultured bacterium. Its description in RNAcentral is "partial 16S ribosomal RNA". It matches the Rfam family "Bacterial small subunit ribosomal RNA", at positions 509 to 809 of the family's 1533-position model. The record is from RNAcentral.
CAGUAGCCGCGGUAAUACGGAGGGGGCUAGCGUUGUUCGGAAUUACUGGGCGUAAAGCGUACGUAGGCGGCUUUGUAAGUUAGAGGUGAAAGCCUGGUGCUCAACACCAGAACUGCCUUUAAGACUGCAUCGCUUGAACGUCGGAGAGGUGAGUGGAAUUCCGAGUGUAGAGGUGAAAUUCGUAGAUAUUCGGAAGAACACCAGUGGCGUAGACGGCUCACUGGACGACUGUUGACGCUGAGGUACGAAAGCGUGGGGAGCAAACAGGAUUAGAUACCCCCGUAGUCCCUGUCUCUUAUAA